UCGAGGGGCAGCGGGGAGCAAGCUUGCUUGCUCUGCCGGCGACCGGCGCACGGGUGAGUAACACGUAUGCAACCUGCCCUCCGCAGGGGGAUAACCCGGAGAAAUCCGGACUAAUACCGCGUGGUACACCGGUGGGGCAUCCCACGGGUGUUAAAAGGAAGUGAUUCCGGCGGAGGAUGGGCAUGCGGCGCAUUAGCUAGUUGGCGGGGUAACGGCCCACCAAGGCGACGAUGCGUAGGGGUUCUGAGAGGAAGGUCCCCCACACUGGUACUGAGACACGGACCAGACUCCUACGGGAGGCAGCAGUGAGGAAUAUUGGUCAAUGGGCGGGAGCCUGAACCAGCCAAGUCGCGUGAGGGAAGACGGUCCUAUGGAUUGUAAACCUCUUUAGGCGGGGAGCAAUGCCGGGCACGCGUGCCCGGAGGGAGAGUACCCGCAGAAUAAGCAUCGGCUAACUCCGUGCCAGCAGCCGCGGUAAUACGGAGGAUGCGAGCGUUAUCCGGAUUUAUUGGGUUUAAAGGGUGCGUAGGCGGAUUUUUAAGUCAGCGGUAAAAUGUCCGGGCUCAACCCGGGCCGGCCGUUGAAACUGGGGAUCUUGAGUGGGCGAGAAGUAUGCGGAAUGCGUGGUGUAGCGGUGAAAUGCAUAGAUAUCACGCAGAACUCCGAUUGCGAAGGCAGCAUACCGGCGCCCGACUGACGCUGAGGCACGAAAGCGUGGGGAUCGAACAGGAUUAGAUACCCUGGUAGUCCACGCAGUAAACGAUGAAUGCUAGUUGU
Molecule: ribosomal RNA, 777 nt
Filed under: uncultured bacterium
Lineage: Bacteria
Description: bacterial SSU rRNA
Rfam family: Bacterial small subunit ribosomal RNA
Source: RNAcentral